GAUGAACGCUAGCGGCAGGCCUAACACAUGCAAGUCGAGGGAGAGGUUACCUUCGGGUACCCAAAACCGGCGCACGGGUGCGUAACGCGUAUACAAUCUGCCUUUCACAUAGGGAUAGCCCGAAGAAAUUUGGAUUAAUACCUAAUGGUAUAUAAGAGCGGCAUCGUUUUUAUAUUAAAGCUACGGUGGUGAAAGAUGAGUAUGCGUUCUAUUAGCUAGUUGGAGAGGUAACGGCUCCCCAAGGCGACGAUAGAUAGGGGUUCUGAGAGGGAUGUCCCCCACACUGGUACUGAGAUACGGACCAGACUCCUACGGGAGGCAGCAGUGAGGAAUAUUGGACAAUGGUCGGAAGACUGAUCCAGCCAUGCCGCGUGCAGGAGGAAGGUCCUAUGGAUUGUAAACUGCUUUUGGAAGGGAAGAAUAAGGAGUACGUGUACUUUGAUGACGGUACCUGACGAAUAAGCAUCGGCUAACUCCGUG
Molecule: ribosomal RNA, 480 nt
Filed under: uncultured bacterium
Lineage: Bacteria
Description: partial 16S ribosomal RNA
Rfam family: Bacterial small subunit ribosomal RNA
Source: RNAcentral